Loxodonta africana (African savanna elephant) is the source of this 2885-nucleotide long non-coding RNA. RefSeq lists it as uncharacterized. The record is from RefSeq and is a predicted model, not a curated record. The transcript has 4 exons. NCBI's taxonomy places the organism in Eukaryota, Metazoa, Chordata, Mammalia, Proboscidea, Elephantidae.
GGUGGAAAGAUUAGUUUAAUACUUGGUCAUGGAAUAAAGUAGAAGAAUUCUGAAAACAGUAAUUUUUAAUCUUCUUUUGGGACACUUUGAUAAUAUGCUGAAAGCUAGAGACUGUUUCCACGGCACUAAUAGUUAAAUUAUUUGGGUUAUCUUUAACCUGUAUUUUUAUUUUGGGGGGAGGAGGAUGAUUGGAAUAAAUGCUUCUGUUAAUUUUUACUUAUAUUUAAAGCAAUAUAAAAAAAUAUGGAAUUUGGUACAUACAGUGUCCUGAUAUUUUCAUUAUGCAUCAUACUCCUAAUCAUUGAAAGAUGACUCUGUCACAUUUUACAUGAAGUAAUCAUUGUCUAGACAUUUAUAUCACAAACUUUAUUUUAUUUUUCUUGAAUUUUCUGUUAUACAAUUAAUCAUUGCUUUACCGUGAAUCAUCCUGAGUCAACUUGAUUCAGAUAGGCCUAUAGUACACAGUUAAAAUGGGAUUUUAUUUUAUUCUUACCAGAUCCAGAAGUCUCUUCCAUUUAAUUAUGAGUUUACUACAGUUAGAUUGAUGAUUAUAACAGGUAUUUAUAUUUUGUUUUGCCUUUCUUUUUUUUUUUGUAAGUGUUCUUUUCUUUAUUACCUGUGCUUAUUCAUUUCAGAUCAUUAGGAAAAAUAUGUUUUUACUCCUGUAGUGUUUACUUUUAUAAAUUUAAAGAAUAACAUUAAAUCUUAAGCUUUUUUUCAUUCUAGAAAUGAGGUAAUAGCUAAUGAAUAUCCAAUGCUAAAUAUGAAUAAAUUAGGACACUUAAAGACACUUACUUUCCUUCUCACUCUUCUAUUUUCCAAAUUUUGUUAAUAUGAUCUGGUAUUUUUUUUCUCAAUCCAUUUCAGCUAGCAUAUUAUUAUAAUUUAUUAUACAGUUGCCUCAGUGAUAACCUCAGGUAUACGUUUAAAGAAACUCAAUGAAUUCUGCCACUCCCAUCAUACCAUAUCUCAUGGUUGGUUAAUUUAUACCCCUAAAGUAAACUGAGAACUUAGUCUUUUCUGGGCAAUGUGCCAGGCACUAAGUAUUCAGCAAUGAGCAGGUCACUUACCCAACCUCACAGCAGCUGCCAGUUCAGUAAGUAAAAUUUCUAGAUGAGGAAAGAAAUGUUACUUCAUUUUUCUUGUAGUUUCGAUAAAGUUUAUUUUUAAAAAAUGUUCUUUUAUUUUAUUCUCUUACCUUUCAUUGUUCUCAUUUGAUAAAAAGGACCUCUAUGGACACUCUAGUAUUAUUUCGUUUGCAUUUCUGGGCAUGUGUUAUGGAUUGAAUUCUGCUCUGAAAAAAAAUAUGUUUUGUAAGUCCUAAUCACUAUGCCAGUGUUCAUAAUUCCAUUUGGGAAUGGGUUGUCUUCAUUAUGUUAAUGAGGCAGGAUUAGUAUAGAGUGUAUCUUGAAUCAAUCUCUUUUCAGAUAUAAGAGAUUAAACAAGGGAGCAGAGAGAGAUGGGGUAAGAUAGAUUCCAAGCCACAUGGAGAUCUCCAAGGAACCAGGAAGCAGAAGCUGAAGAGACAAGUACUUUCUUCAGAGCUGGCAGAGAGAGAAAGCCAUUCCCGAGAGCUGGCGCUCUGAAUUUGAACUUCUAGCCUCCUAAACUACUCUGAGCCAGAGCCCUGCUGUCUGACCUGUCCAUCUUGGGUUCACCAGCCCCUGCAGCUAGAUUUUACCACAAAUGCACUCACUAAAUUGGGAGAAAGGAGCUCCUUCUUCACUUCCCUCAGAAUGGAAGAAUCUGGAAGCCGAAGUGUUAACAUCUAUAAGCUGCUCCAACAAGGGAAUAUAUACUGUUAAAUAUUGGGAGUUAUUUAAAAUGCCAGUGAGUAUAAUAGCAGUGCUCUGAAAUAACCAUUUCAUCUGCCUACAUUACUCUAAAAUUAAUGAAUAAUGAAGCGAUGCCCUUCACAUUCUCUUCCCUUUCCAUUCCAAGAUAUAUUGAUCAGAUGACAUUUAUUUAAGUUUGGGAUAAUGUAUUAAUUUCAAGAUAAUUAUUCAAUAUACUUUUGUCACUGUUGAUAUGCUUCAAUGUCAUCCAGGGGCCGGGGGAUGAAUAAACUGUUAUCUGACAUUGCUGGACAGAGCGCUAGAAAUAAAUGCAGUUUUUCUCCUUGAGAUUCACUGACUUGGGUUUUUAUGGGGGGGUGGUUAUGGAGGGGAGAAUGCUGAAUGGGGAGAGGGUGUGAUGAUACAACCUGGAGGUUAAGAAUUUUUUAAAGAAUGGUACUUUGGGACAAAGUGCUUUUCUAUCAUCGCUGGGGUCAGGCUGAUCCUCAGCAAAGUUGACAGAGCCCAUCCUUAGUGGAUGCCACUGCAAUAUUAACACUCAUUUGGAGCAGAUGUGGCUAAAAGCAUGAAACAUUGAACAAACAGCUGCCACAGAUCCCUUGCCAUUGCAUAAGCACUUAUGUUCUAUUAAUGCAGUGGACUGCCGAGGCCGGUAGGGCAGGCAUUAUUCCCCACAGUUCUUAAGCAGAUGGGUGAAACAAUGGCUCCUUAGAGAAGUGUUGCCCCCAUUGAAGCAAUCCUUCCAUCUUAGGAAAAUAUUUUUAUACAAAAUAAUUAACCCAUGAAAAGAAUGCAGCUAAAGUUAGGUUAUGCUAUGCCAAGCUAUUUAGCAGAUAUGCUAGUCUUUUUAAAUUUAUUUUAUUCUAAGCUAUUUUUAUUUGGAUAGUGUGCCAGUGCUAUAAUGCUGUCUCUUCCUUCUUUUCUCACCUUGUGUUGUGUGUGUUUAUACAAGAUGUGUGUAUAUAGAACUCUGUGUCUUCGGGUAUGGGAUAAGUUGAGAUCCCAGUUCUUCAAACUUGCUUCUCUGUUUACCUAAUUCAGUGGGUUUGAGCAUGUUGCUUCCAAGUCUACAAUUACCAGUUUGACACC